AUAUGGAUAAAGUGAAGGAUGAAAAAAGUAGGAAGCUCUGCGCAACUUCACAAGAAGAUCUGAGAGGCCGAGGAAAAGAGAAAAGGAAACGAAAACGCAGUAGAAGCAGAUCAUCAUCUGUUACAUCCACAUCGUCUUCUAGUGCUACAUCCACUUCUUCUUCCUCAUCGCGCUCAUCAUCAAGGUCAUCUUCUUCAAGUAGCAGAGAUUCUCCUAAGUCUAAGUCAAAGAAAAAGAAAAAAGAAAAACACAAUAAAAAGAAAAGGAAAAAGGAGAACAAAAUGAAGAAAAAGAAAGAAAAGAAGAAAAAGAAAGAGAAAACAGGACCUGUCCAGCUUUCCAAGUUCUUUAAAAACAAAAAGAAAAAUGAAAACUACAGCAUGAUAACUGGAAAGAAAAUUAAGAUGAAAAUAAAGAAGACUAAGAAGGAUAAAGAGAGAGACCGGAACCGUGCAGAACUCCUUGAAUUUCUGAACUCUGCCUUAUAA
Molecule: long non-coding RNA, 488 nt
Filed under: Calidris pugnax (ruff)
Lineage: Eukaryota; Metazoa; Chordata; Aves; Charadriiformes; Scolopacidae
Description: lncRNA (ENSCPUG00000000460.1)
Source: RNAcentral